GUCAAAACGACUCUCGGCAGCGGAUAUCUCGGCUCUCGCAUCGAUGAAGAACGUAGCGAAAUGCGAUACUUGGUGUGAAUUGCAGAAUCCCGUGAACCAUCGAGUCUUUGAACGCAAGUUGCGCCCGAAGCCUUUAGGCCGAGGGCACGUCUGCCUGGGCGUCA
RNAcentral lists this ribosomal RNA (164 nucleotides) under Rehmannia glutinosa. RNAcentral describes it as "5.8S ribosomal RNA". It matches the Rfam family "5.8S ribosomal RNA". Rfam says of the family: 5.8S ribosomal RNA (5.8S rRNA) is a component of the large subunit of the eukaryotic ribosome. It is transcribed by RNA polymerase I as part of the 45S precursor that also contains 18S and 28S rRNA. Functionally, it is thought that 5.8S rRNA may be involved in ribosome translocation. The record is from RNAcentral. Lineage: Eukaryota; Viridiplantae; Streptophyta; Magnoliopsida; Lamiales; Orobanchaceae.